GACGAACGCUGGCGGCGUGCCUAAUACAUGCAAGUCGAGCGAAUGGAUUAAGAGCUUGCUCUUAUGAAGUUAGCGGCGGACGGGUGAGUAACACGUGGGUAACCUGCCCAUAAGACUGGGAUAACUCCGGGAAACCGGGGCUAAUACCGGAUAACAUUUUGAACCGCAUGGUUCGAAAUUGAAAGGCGGCUUCGGCUGUCACUUAUGGAUGGACCUGCGUCGCAUUAGCUAGUUGGUGAGGUAACGGCUCACCAAGGCAACGAUGCGUAGCCGACCUGAGAGGGUGAUCGGCCACACUGGGACUCGGACACGGCCCAGACUCCUACGGGAGGCAGCAGUAGGGAAUCUUCCGCAAUGGACGAAAGUCUGACGGAGCAACGCCGCGUGAGUGAUGAAGGCUUUCGGGUCGUAAAACUCUGUUGUUAGGGAAGAACAAGUGCUAGUUGAAUAAGCUGGCACCUUGACGGUACCUAACCAGAAAGCCACGGCUAACUACGUGCCAGCCGCCGCCGUAA
RNAcentral lists this ribosomal RNA (515 nucleotides) under uncultured bacterium. Its description in RNAcentral is "partial 16S ribosomal RNA". It matches the Rfam family "Bacterial small subunit ribosomal RNA", at positions 28 to 523 of the family's 1533-position model. The record is from RNAcentral.